GUAACAAGGUUUCCGUAGGUGAACCUGCGGAAGGAUCAUUAAAUUACAA
RNAcentral lists this ribosomal RNA (49 nucleotides) under Otidea nannfeldtii. RNAcentral's name for it is "partial 18S ribosomal RNA". The stretch from base 1 to 41 matches the Rfam family "Eukaryotic small subunit ribosomal RNA", at positions 1791 to 1831 of the family's 1831-position model. The record is from RNAcentral. Lineage: Eukaryota; Fungi; Ascomycota; Pezizomycetes; Pezizales; Pyronemataceae.